UAUCUACUCCCUCCGUCCGCAAAUACUUGUCAUUAAAAUGGACAAAAAGGAAUGUAUCUAGAACUAAAAUACAUUUAGAUACACCCCCUUUUAUUCAUUUUGAUGACAAGUAUUUCCGGACGGAUGGAGUAUUUU
Molecule: non-coding RNA, 135 nt
Organism: Triticum aestivum (bread wheat)
Lineage: Eukaryota; Viridiplantae; Streptophyta; Magnoliopsida; Poales; Poaceae
Source: Rfam